Molecule: long non-coding RNA, 2413 nt
Organism: Mobula hypostoma (lesser devil ray)
Lineage: Eukaryota; Metazoa; Chordata; Chondrichthyes; Myliobatiformes; Myliobatidae
Exons: 5
Source: RefSeq, a predicted model, not a curated record
UUGCAGUGAAGCACUCCUUUGGUAGCCUACUGAAACAUUUGUCUUGAUUAUAUAUUCAAGUGUUUGCACCAUGGGAGUUGAAGCCACAACCUUCUGAAGCGGAGGAAAAAAACUUGGAAACAGAACUGUGAUGAAGUGUUCGAAAGCUGAACAUGUAAUUUUGAAAAGAGAUGAAGAGAGAAGACGCUGGACAAACAUGGUCAUAGGAUUCAACCUGAUGGGAGAUUGUGAUUCGAUGGAGCAAGAUGCCAGGGCCUUCUGAGGAUUGAUGGCGGAAGAAGUUUGGCAUGAGACCCCAAAUUCUCAGGACUUGCUACAAGGGCACCAUGGAGAGCAUCCUAACUGGUUAUGUCACUGCAAGUUCAUGUGAUGAAGGUCAGCUAACGUACUCUUGGACAACAAGUUCCGGCAAAUAGACCAAUUGUGCUGAAGUUAUACAACAUGGUCUGAAGCAAAAACAAACUGCUGGAAGAACUCAGUGGCUUGAGCACCUCCUGUGGGAUGAGAGGAAAUAUCACCAUCUCAGGUCAAAACCUUGGAUCAGGACUUGCAACAUGGGCUUAAACACCCUUCCGCUUUGCUACUGAUCCCUUCAAGAACUGUUGGUGAUGAUCACCUCAUGGGUAAGCAUGUUGCUGACUUCCUGCAGUGCAAUCAAUGAUCCAGCAGUGGUGCAUUCAUGUACUCAACUGAGGGCUGGAUGCUUUUUGCAUUUGGUUCCUCAGUUUUACACUCUCCAUGUCAUAGAGUCAUAGAAAAGUACAGCACAGAAAAAGGCCCUUCAGAACAUCUAGCCUGUGCUGAACAACUUAAACUGCCUACUGCUAUCGAUCUACACCGGGACUAUAACUCUCCAUACCAUUACCUUCCAUGUACCUAUCCAAACUUCUCUUUGAAUGUUGAAAUUGAGCUUGCAUGCACCACUUGCAAUGGCAGCUAGUUCCACAUUCCCAUGAUCCCUCAGUGAAGAAGUUUCUCCUCAUGUUCCCCUUAAACUUUUCACCUUUCACCCUUAACCCAUGACCUCUAGUUGAAGUCCCACCCGACCUAAGUAGACAAAGCCUGCUUGCAUUUACCCUAUCUAUACCCCUCAUAAUUUUCUAUACCUCUAUCAAAUCUCCUCUCAAUCAUCUAUGUUCUGAGGAAUAAAGUCCUAAAUUAUUCAAUCUUUCCAUAUAAGUCAGGUCCUCCAGACCUGGCAAUAUCCUUGUAAAUUUUCUCUGCAGUAUUUCAAUCUUAUUUACAUUUUUCCUGUAGGUGGGUGACCAAAACUGCAAACAAUAUUCCACAUUAGGCCUCACUGAUAUCUUAUAUAGUAUCAACAUAACAUCUCAUCUCCUGUUCUCAUUACUUUGAUUUAUGAAGGCUAAUGUGCCAAAGCUUUACUUAUGGUCCUAUCCACCUGUGACAUCACUUUAUGGGCCUGUAUUCCCAGAUCCCUUUGUUCCAUCGCACUCCUCAGUGCCCUACCAUUCACUGUGUAAGACCUAUCCCAGUUGGUCUGCUGAAGUCAAACACCUCGCACUUAUCUGCAUUAAUUUCCAUCUGCGAUUUUUUAGCCAUUUUUUCCAGUUUGUCCAGAUCCUGCUGCAAGCCAUGAUAGGCUUCCUUGCUGUCCAAUACACUAGUUGACCACAUUAUCAUCCACAUCGUUGAUACAGAUGACAAACAUCAACUGACUUAGCACUGAACCCUGCAGCACUCUACUAGUGACAGUCCCUCCAGUCAGACAGGCUAUCAUUUAUUACACUUGCUGGCUUCUCCCACAAAGCCAAUGUCUAAACCAAUUUACUACCUUAUCUUGAGUGCCAUGCGACUGAACCUUCUUGACUAAGCUCCCAUGUGGGACCUUGUCAAAUGCCUUGCUAAAGCCCAUGCAGACAACAUUUACUGCCUUGCCUUCAUCAACUUUCCUGGUAGUUUGGUUAGACAUGAUCUAACACGCACAAAGCUAUGCUAUCUAUUCAAAUACUUAUAAAUCCAGUCUCUCAGAAUAUCUUCCAAUAAUUUUCCCACUACUGAUGUCCGGCUCACUGGCCUAUAAUUUCCUGGUUUAUUUUUACAGCCUUUCGAAAACAGCGGAUGAACAUCAGUUAUUCUCCAAUCCUCUGGUACUUCACCUGUCGCUAAGGAUGAUUUAAAUAUCUCUGGUAGGGCCCCUGCAAUUUCUGCACUUACCUCCCGCAAGGUCCCAUUCUUUGGAACAGGGCUGCUGAUAUUGAUGAGAAAGUUCAGCAAAGUUGAUGAUUUAUUCUUUUUUUGUUACUUAACAUUAAAUUUAAAAUAAAAUUUCAGUAGCUUAAUGUAUUUUAAUCAUAUUAAGUUGUUUUAUUUUGAUUAUUUUAAACUGAUGGAACUGUUGAACAGUAGGGAGAUUUAAAAAUAGUUCAAAAGCAAUUGCCAGUAGCUAGCU